UGAUCCAGAGUACCACGGGACACGUGAAACCCUGUGGGAAGCAGGAGGGACCACCCUCCAAGGCUAAAUACUACCUAGUGACCGAUAGCGUAUAGUACCGUGAGGGAAAGGUGAAAAGAACCCCGGGAGGGGAGUGAAAUAGAACCUGAAACCCUGCACUUACAAGCUGUGGAAGCACAUUUCUUGUGUGACCGCGUACUUUUUGUAGAACGGGCCAACGAGUUACGUUAAGUAGCAAGGUUAAGCACUUAAGGUGCGGAGCCGUAGCGAAAGCGAGUUUUAACUGAGCGUUCAGUUACUUGACGUAGACCCGAAACCGGGCGACCUACCCAUGAGCAGGAUGAAGCGAAAGUAAAAUUUCGUGGAGGUCCGAACCCACGAGCGUUGAAAAGCUCGGGGAUGACUUGUGGGUAGCGGUGAAAUUCCAAUCGAGCCCGGAGAUAGCUGGUUCUCCCCGAAAUAGCUUUAGGGCUAGCCUCAAGGUGAGAGAUACGGAGGUAGAGCACUGAAUGUCCUAGGGGGUAUUGCACCUACCGAAGACUAUCAAACUCCGAAUGCCGUCAUCUUAUACUUGGGAGUCAGACUGUGGGUGAUAAGAUUCAUAGUCGAAAGGGCAACAGCCCAGAUCGUCAGCUAAGGUCCCUAAAUGUAAGUUAAGUGGUAAAGGAUGUGGGAUUGCACAGACAACCAGGAUGUUGGCUUAGAAGCAGCCACUCAUUCAAAGAGUGCGUAAUAGCUCACUGGUCGAGUGAUCCUGCGCCGAAGAUUUCCGGGGCUAAAACUU
Molecule: ribosomal RNA, 784 nt
Filed under: Clostridioides difficile
Lineage: Bacteria; Bacillati; Bacillota; Clostridia; Peptostreptococcales; Peptostreptococcaceae
Description: partial 23S ribosomal RNA
Rfam family: Bacterial large subunit ribosomal RNA
Source: RNAcentral